Molecule: unclassified non-coding RNA, 330 nt
Filed under: soil metagenome
Description: partial contains 5.8S ribosomal RNA, internal transcribed spacer 2, and large subunit ribosomal RNA
Rfam family: 5.8S ribosomal RNA (bases 1-120)
Source: RNAcentral
GAUGAAGAAUGCAGCGAAAUGCGAUAAGUAAUGUGAAUUGCAGAAUUCAGUGAAUCAUCGAAUCUUUGAACGCACAUUGCGCCCCCUGGUAUUCCGGGGGGCAUGCCUGUUCGAGCGUCAUUUCACCACUCAAGCCUCGCUUGGUAUUGGGCAACGCGGUCCGCCGCGUGCCUCAAAUCGACCGGCUGGGUCUUCUGUCCCCUAAGCGUUGUGGAAACUUUCGCUAAAGGGUGUUCGGGAGGCUACGCCGUAAAACAACCCCAUUUCUAAGGUUGACCUCGGAUCAGGUAGGGAUACCCGCUGAACUUAAGCAUAUCAAUAAGCGGAGGA